RNAcentral lists this ribosomal RNA (301 nucleotides) under uncultured bacterium. RNAcentral's name for it is "partial 16S ribosomal RNA". It matches the Rfam family "Bacterial small subunit ribosomal RNA", at positions 509 to 807 of the family's 1533-position model. The record is from RNAcentral.
CAGUAGCCGCGGGAAUACGGAGGGUGCAAGCGUUACUCGGAAUUACUGGGCGUAAAGCGUGCGUAGGUGGUGGUUUAAGUCCGUUGUGAAAGCCCUGGGCUCAACCUGGGAAUUGCAGUGGAUACUGGGUCACUAGAGUGUGGUAGAGGAUAGUGGAAUUUCCGGUGUAGCAGUGAAAUGCGUAGAGAUCGGAAGGAACAUCUAUGGCGAAGGCGACUAUCUGGGCCAACACUGACACUGAGGCACGAAAGCGUGGGGAGCAAACAGGAUUAGAUACCCGAGUAGUCCCUGUCUCUUAUAC